CCCAGCACACAACCAAAGAAAAGCACCCCCUAGAUUUUAUAGACGAGGCAUUCCUUGCAACAAACAGAAUAAACAUUAAGCAUGGAACCAAGACAUAGCAUGUGAGCAUGAAGAUAAGGGCACGUAAUAAUUAGACUCACAAGCUACUAAUAAAAUGGAAAAUAAUGAGACAAAAGGAUAGAGGAGUGAUAGCAUAUGUCUCACACGAUAUGAUAAAGUACGACGUCUCUUGGUC
Molecule: long non-coding RNA, 235 nt
Filed under: Hordeum vulgare
Lineage: Eukaryota; Viridiplantae; Streptophyta; Magnoliopsida; Poales; Poaceae
Description: long non-coding RNA (HVUL_LNC009561)
Source: RNAcentral